This is an RNA transcript of Octodon degus (degu), 1182 nucleotides long. It is a transcript of the gene named T-complex protein 1 subunit eta pseudogene, with no coding region annotated. NCBI's taxonomy places the organism in Eukaryota, Metazoa, Chordata, Mammalia, Rodentia, Octodontidae. The record is from RefSeq and is a predicted model, not a curated record. The transcript has a single exon.
GCUCUGAGCUCCAAGCUGAUCUCCCAGCAGAAAGCCUUCUUUGCUAAGAUGGUGGUUGAUGCUGUGAUGAUGCUUGAUGAUUUGCUGCAGCUUAAAAUGAUUGGAAUCAAGAAGGUACAGGGUGGAGCCCUGGAGGAGUCUCGGCUGGUGGCUGGUGUUGCAUUCAAGAAGAUUUUCUCUUACGCUGGAUUUGAAAUGCAACCUAAAAAGUACAAUAACCCCACAAUUGCCCUGUUAAAUGUUGAACUUGAGCUGAAAGCUGAAAAAGACAAUGCUGAAAUCAGAGUCCACACAGUAGAGGAUUAUCAGGCAAUCGUUGAUGCUGAGUGGAACAUUCUGUAUGACAAGUUAGAGAAGAUCUAUAAUUCCGGAGCCAAAGUUGUUUUGUCCAAACUCCCUAUUGGGGAUGUGGCCACCCAGUACUUCGCUGAUAGGGACAUGUUCUGCGCCGGCUGUGUGCCUGAGGAGGAUUUGAAGAGGACAAUGAUGGCCUGUGGAGGCUCAAUCCAGACCAGCGUGAAUGCUCUAUCAGCAGAUGUGCUGGGCCACUGCCAGCUGUUCGAAGAGACCCAGAUUGGAGGUGAAAGAUACAAUUUCUUCACUGGCUGCCCCAAGGCUAAGACUUGCACCUUCAUCCUCCGCGGCGGAGCUGAGCAGUUCAUGGAGGAGACAGAGCGGUCUCUGCAUGACGCCAUCAUGAUUGUCAGGAGGGCCAUCAAGAAUGAUUCAGUGGUGGCUGGAGGUGGAGCCAUCAAGAUGGAGCUCUCUAAGUACCUUCGGGAUUACUCAAGGACUAUCCCAGGAAAGCAGCAGCUCCUGAUUGGGACAUAUGCCAAGGCCUUGGAGAUUAUCCCAUGCCAGCUAUGUGACAAUGCUGGCUUUGAUGCUACAAACAUCCUGAACAAACUACGGGCUCGGCAUGCCCAGGGCGGCAUGUGGUAUGGGGUGGACAUCAACAAUGAGGACAUUACUGACAACUUCGAGGCUUUUGUGUGGGAGCCAGCUAUGGUGCGGAUCAAUGCCCUCACAGCAGCCUCUGAGGCUGCAUGCCUGAUCGUGUCCGUUGAUGAGACCAUCAAGAACCCUCGCUCCACCAUGGAUACUCCUCCAGCAGCGGGCCGGGGCCAGGGCCGCCUUCCUUGAGAUCCCACCCAUCACACUGGCUGGCAGCUGGCUGCAGGU